UACAGAGGUGGCGAGCGUUGUUCGGAAUUACUGGGCGUAAAGGGCGCGUAGGCGGUCUUGUAAGUCUGGUGUGAAAUCCCUCGGCUUAACUGAGGAACUGCACGAGAUACUGCGAGACUUGAGUUCGGGAGAGGGAAGCGGAAUUCCGGGUGUAGCGGUGAAAUGCGUAGAUAUCCGGAGGAACACCGGUGGCGAAGGCGGCAUUCUGGACUACUACUGACGCUGAGGAGCGAAAGCCAGGGGAGCAAACGGG
RNAcentral lists this ribosomal RNA (253 nucleotides) under uncultured bacterium. Its description in RNAcentral is "partial 16S ribosomal RNA". It matches the Rfam family "Bacterial small subunit ribosomal RNA", at positions 524 to 776 of the family's 1533-position model. The record is from RNAcentral.